AGAGUUUGAUCAUGGCUCAGGAUGAACGCUAGCGGCAGGCUUAACACAUGCAAGUCGAGGGGCAGCAGGGUAGUAAUACCGCUGGCGACCGGCAAACGGGUGCGGAACACGUACGCAAUCUACCUUUAUCUGGGGCAUAGCCCGAAGAAAUUCGGAUUAACACCCCAUAAGAUAUUAGAGUGGCAUCACUCAGAUAUUAAAUCUCCGGAGGAUAGAGAUGAGCGUGCGUCCCAUUAGCUAGUUGGUAGGGUAACGGCCUACCAAGGCGACGAUGGGUAGCUGGUGUGAGAGCACGACCAGCCACACGGGCACUGAGACACGGGCCCGACUCCUACGGGAGGCAGCAGUGAGGAAUAUUGGGCAAUGGACGCAAGUCUGACCCAGCCAUGCCGCGUGAAGGAUGAAGGCGUUCUGCGUUGUAAACUUCUUUUAUUAGGGAAGAAACCUCCGUUUUCUAAUGGAGCCGACGGUACCUAACGAAUAAGCACCGGCUAACUCCGUGCCAGCAGCCGCGGUAAUACGGAGGGUGCAAGCGUUAUCCGGAUUCACUGGGUUUAAAGGGUGUGUAGGCGGAUAUUUAAGUCAGUGGUGAAAUCUCCAGGCUCAACCUGGAAACUGCCAUUGAUACUAUUUAUCUUGAAUUCUGUUGAGGUGGGCGGAAUACAUCAUGUAGCGGUGAAAUGCUUAGAUAUGAUGUAGAACACCGAUUGCGAAGGCAGCUCACUAAGCAGACAUUGACGCUGAGGCACGAAAGCGUGGGGAUCAAACAGGAUUAGAUACCCUGGUAGUCCACGCCCUAAACGAUGAUUACUCGACAUACGCGAUACACAGUGUGUGUCUGAGCGAAAGCAUUAAGUAAUCCACCUGGGAAGUACGACCGCAAGGUUGAAACUCAAGGGAUUUGACGG
This 908-nucleotide ribosomal RNA is filed under the name uncultured bacterium. Its description in RNAcentral is "bacterial SSU rRNA". It matches the Rfam family "Bacterial small subunit ribosomal RNA", at positions 8 to 916 of the family's 1533-position model. The record is from RNAcentral.